This 72-nucleotide transfer RNA is filed under the name Bos taurus (domestic cattle). It matches the Rfam family "tRNA". From Rfam's summary of the family: Transfer RNA (tRNA) molecules are approximately 80 nucleotides in length. The record is from Rfam by way of RNAcentral. RNAcentral also lists the same sequence under 4 other names. Lineage: Eukaryota; Metazoa; Chordata; Mammalia; Artiodactyla; Bovidae.
UCCCUGGUAGUCCAGUGAUUAAGAUGUCACCUUCCAAUGCUGGGGGUGCAGGUUCCAUUCCUGGUCAGGGAA